This 560-nucleotide non-coding RNA is filed under the name Pan troglodytes (chimpanzee). Lineage: Eukaryota; Metazoa; Chordata; Mammalia; Primates; Hominidae. RNAcentral also lists the same sequence under 1 other name. The record is from RNAcentral.
AUUGACAGCUUUCACCUGGCUUUCUGGAGUAAACAGUGAAUUUAUUGGUGUUCUAGAAUCAUUAAAUUCGCUAGAGAAUUUGCUAGUGAAUUUGGAUUGCUUUCUGAACAUUUUUCUGUUCUUCUGUAGUGCUCCCUCUGAGCAUUGUAGAAGUGUUCCAGCACCCCUAUGAAGACCACAUUCAUUUUGUCAGGGAGCCUUUAGUCCACUAUCUUGAAUCAUACAUGAAGGAUCUAGUGAUACACUUUUUUAAAGAUUUGUAUUACCAACUUCUCUGCUCAUACUGCAUUAGUACUAGCAGGUGCAUUGGAUAUUUAUUGACUCCAAAACUUGAAUGUAUUUUGUAAGUAAGUCCUUUUAAAUUUAAAUUAUACGCUAAAUUCUAGAAGUCUCCGUUAUCUGGAAUGUGAAAGGCUUUUUGUUUUUAGGGAAAAUGGAGCUGAUAGUAUCCUGGAUCUUGGAUUAGUAGACUCCUCAGAAAAGGUACAGCAGGAAAACCGAAAGCGCCAUGGCUCUAGUCGAAGUGUAGUAGAUAUGGAUUUAGAUGAUACAGAUGAUGG